UACGUAGGAGACGAGCGUUGUCCGGAGUUACUGGGGCGUAAAGGGUGCGCAGGUGGCGGCGCGCGUGGGGGGUGAAAUCGCCCGGCUUAACUGGGCGGGGGCCUUCCAGACGGCGUGGCUUGAGCAGCGGAGGGGGGACGUGGAAAUUCCGGGUGGAGCGGUGAAAUGCGUAGAGAGUCCGGAGGAACACCGACGGCGCGAGGCAGCGUCCUGGCCGCUUGC
RNAcentral lists this ribosomal RNA (222 nucleotides) under uncultured bacterium. Its description in RNAcentral is "partial 16S ribosomal RNA". It matches the Rfam family "Bacterial small subunit ribosomal RNA", at positions 524 to 740 of the family's 1533-position model. The record is from RNAcentral.